Molecule: long non-coding RNA, 458 nt
Filed under: Heterocephalus glaber (naked mole-rat)
Lineage: Eukaryota; Metazoa; Chordata; Mammalia; Rodentia; Bathyergidae
Description: lncRNA (ENSHGLG00000035903.1)
Source: RNAcentral
GGCCUUUUCCUUCAGAAUCAGGGAAGGCAGGAAACCAGCAAAUCCUUGGGUCAGUUCUGUAUCAGACUAUGGAUCUCUAGGACCCUGAGCUCACAUCUCAAGGUGUCAUCUGACUGGCACCUCAGCUCUCACUGGCCACCCGAGUUCCCUGAGCCAGAGAUGGCUCUGGUAACCCCAUAGGCUAACCAGGUCUCCACGACAAGCCACAGACUGGACUGGAACCUGGCUGGCCCCACAAAACAGAAAAGCAUGGAAACAGAUAGUUGCCCUCGAAGUCACUAUGAAGCCUAGGCUGGCCUGGAACUCACAGUGCUCCUCCUGCCCCAGCCUCCUCACUGCUGAGAUUACAGGGUCUUGCUAUGUAGUUCAGGCUGAUCUUGAACUCAUUAUGCAGCCCAGGCGGUCCUGGAACUUACAAGGCUCCUACGGUCUCAGCUUCCCAAGUGCUGGGAUUACAG